RNAcentral lists this ribosomal RNA (275 nucleotides) under uncultured bacterium. Its description in RNAcentral is "partial 16S ribosomal RNA". It matches the Rfam family "Bacterial small subunit ribosomal RNA", at positions 79 to 353 of the family's 1533-position model. The record is from RNAcentral.
CUAAGUUUGAUGGCGACCGGCGCACGGGUGAGUAACACGUAUCCAACCUGCCGAUGACUCGGGGGUAGCCUUUCGAAAGAAAGAUUAAUACCCGAUGGCAUAGUUCUUCCGCAUGGUAGAACUAUUAAAGAAUUUCGGUCAUCGAUGGGGAUGCGUUCCAUUAGGUUGUUGGCGGGGUAACGGCCCACCAAGCCUUCGAUGGAUAGGGGUUCUGAGAGGAAGGUCCCCCACAUUGGAACUGAGACACGGUCCAAACUCCUACGGGAGGCAGCAUG